This 253-nucleotide ribosomal RNA is filed under the name uncultured bacterium. RNAcentral describes it as "partial 16S ribosomal RNA". It matches the Rfam family "Bacterial small subunit ribosomal RNA", at positions 524 to 776 of the family's 1533-position model. The record is from RNAcentral.
UACGAAGGGGGCUAGCGUUGUUCGGAGUUACUGGGCGUAAAGGGCGCGUAGGCGGCGCACCAAGUCAGGCGUGAAAGCCCUGGGCUCAACCCGGGAAUUGCGCUUGAGACUGGUGUGCUUGAGUACGAGAGAGGUGAGUGGAAUUCCCAGUGUAGAGGUGAAAUUCGUAGAUAUUGGGAAGAACACCGGUGGCGAAGGCGGCUCACUGGCUCGUAACUGACGCUCAUGCACGACAGCGUGGGGAUCAAACAGG